Molecule: microRNA precursor, 105 nt
Filed under: Canis lupus familiaris (dog)
Lineage: Eukaryota; Metazoa; Chordata; Mammalia; Carnivora; Canidae
Also listed under: 2 other names
Description: mir-8834 microRNA precursor family
Rfam family: mir-8834 microRNA precursor family
Source: Rfam by way of RNAcentral
AGGAGGAACAACCCCAGUGGCGGGGCCAGCUCUGGAGCCCUGGAGUCAGCUCCCGCAGUAACUCCAGAGCUCUCCGUCUGCAGGGCCUGGAGGCUCCGGGGCGGG